GACGAGCGCUGGGGGUGUGCUUAAGACAUUCCAGUGGACAGGUACGGCCCUGCAUGUGUGGCGUCCCCGAGCUGCGACCGGGAGCCUAACACGUGAUUCACCUGCCAUUGACUUUGGGUUAACCUCAGGAAACAGGGUCCAUUACCGUCUAGGCGCUCCGGCUGCAAGGCGGGGGUGGGAACGUUUCGGCGGUUGGGGAUGGACCCGCGGCUUAUCAGCUUGUUGGUGGGGUAGUGGCUUACCAAGGCUUUGACGGGUAGCCGGCCUGAGAGGGUGACCGGCCACAUUGGGACUGAGAUACGGCCCAGACUCCUACGGGAGGCAGCAGUGGGGAAUAUUGCACAAUGGGCGGAAGCCUGAUGCAGCAACGCCGCGUGCGGGAUGACGGCCUUCGGGUUGUAAACCGCUUUCGCCUGUGACGAAGCGUGAGUGACGGUAAUGGGUAAAGAAGCACCGGCUAACUACGUG
Molecule: ribosomal RNA, 468 nt
Filed under: uncultured bacterium
Lineage: Bacteria
Description: partial 16S ribosomal RNA
Rfam family: Bacterial small subunit ribosomal RNA
Source: RNAcentral